GACGAACGCUGGCGGCGUGCCUAAUACAUGCAAGUCGAGCGGAUCUUCAUUAGCUUGCUUUUGAAGAUCAGCGGCGGACGGGUGAGUAACACGUGGGCAACCUGCCUGUAAGACUGGGAUAACUUCGGGAAACCGGAGCUAAUACCGGAUAAUCCUUUUCCUCUCAUGAGGAAAAGUUGAAAGACGGUUUCGGCUGUCACUUACAGAUGGGCCCGCGGCGCAUUAGCUAGUUGGUGAGGUAACGGCUCACCAAGGCGACGAUGCGUAGCCGACCUGAGAGGGUGAUCGGCCACACUGGGACUGAGACACGGCCCAGACUCCUACGGGAGGCAGCAGUAGGGAAUCUUCCGCAAUGGACGAAAGUCUGACGGAGCAACGCCGCGUGAGCGAUGAAGGCCUUCGGGUCGUAAAGCUCUGUUGUCAGGGAAGAACAAGUACCGGAGUAACUGCCGGUACCUUGACGGUACCUGACCAGAAAGCCACGGCUAACUACGUGCCAGCCGCCGCCGUAA
Molecule: ribosomal RNA, 512 nt
Filed under: uncultured bacterium
Lineage: Bacteria
Description: partial 16S ribosomal RNA
Rfam family: Bacterial small subunit ribosomal RNA
Source: RNAcentral